UACGGGGGGGGCAAGCGUUGUUCGGAAUUACUGGGCGUAAAGGGCUCGUAGGCGGCCAACUAAGUCGGACGUGAAAUCCCCAGGCUCAACCUGGGAACUGCGUCCGAUACUGGAUGGCUUGAAUCCGGGAGAGGGAUGCAGAAUUCCAGGUGUAGCGGUGAAAUGCGUAGAUAUCGGGAGGAACACCGGUGGCGAAGGCGGCGACCUGGGUAGAUACUGACGCUGAGGUGCGAAAGCGUGGGGAGCAAACAGG
RNAcentral lists this ribosomal RNA (253 nucleotides) under uncultured bacterium. RNAcentral's name for it is "partial 16S ribosomal RNA". It matches the Rfam family "Bacterial small subunit ribosomal RNA", at positions 524 to 776 of the family's 1533-position model. The record is from RNAcentral.